Molecule: long non-coding RNA, 2783 nt
Filed under: Olea europaea subsp. europaea
Lineage: Eukaryota; Viridiplantae; Streptophyta; Magnoliopsida; Lamiales; Oleaceae
Source: RNAcentral
UACCAAUACUCUCUGCCUCCAAGGUUUUCCCCAAAUUUUUUCAUUCCCUCUCUUAAAUUUUGCCUGUCUUCCUCAAUUUCUUUGCCUCCAAAAAUUUUAUCCCUAAAAUUAUUCAUUCCCUCCAUUUGUUGCAUAUGUUUAGUUGGCCCAAACCUAAUUGAAACUCUUCAAUUGAAGCGAAUUUGGGCUUCAUCUGCAAUUCGAAUUCUAAGAUUUUUGGCUUCUGCUAUAGAUCGAUUGCUGUGAAAUGUUGCUUUAUCCACAAAUCAAUUUCUUUGAUAUUGUCUUCCAGGUAUGCCCAUUCCAAGAUUAUAUAUUUAUAGAGUUUUACUACUACCUGUAAUUUCUUCGUACGAAUUGCUGCUGAAUCCGUUAGUAAAUGUGUUGUUCUAAAAUUUAAAGUAGAUGUUGGAGUCUCUAGGGUUUUAGAUGUGGUGGAAAAGUGUCAAGAUUACUCCAUCUCCAUGCUCCUUGCCAGACUUUUAUUAUGUCAAAAUAUAGUAGUAGUGGCGGCAGAGCAAUGCCCCUAUGAAUGUUUAUUGAGAAAUUUAAGCUAGAUGUUGGAUGCAUUCUUUUGUGAUCUUUCUCCAUGUUUCUUGCUAGACUUUUAGUAAUCCAAGCAUGGCGACCGAGAUGGACAUGUAGGCCAUGAGGAUAUUUAUUCUCCGCUCAUCACCUAAAAAUCUUAGGGCAAGAUAUAGGAAAGGUCGUCCCGCUUGCCUCGUUUUCUGGAGUUAUUGACUUCAUUGUUAUGUAUCAUAGCCGAAUUAGAAGAGGGCUUGCAAAGAUUUAGUUCUAUUAGGAUGUAUCCUUAUUUUGUCUUUCUAUUAUGGAUCAAUCAAGAUAAUAAUCAAGUUGCUCUAGAUUGUUUCCAAGCGCUAUUCUCGACACUUCGGAAGCUUUUAUGUUAUCUAUGUGCUCAUCUCUAGACGAGAUUUCUUCACCAGAAGAUCUCUUUUCUGUUAAUUUGACCUUAUGCAAGUUUAUAGAUCUCGAUUCAUCAUUUCUUACAACUAGCAACAAUAUCUAUCAUAGAAUCGAAACACUAGUAGAAUGAGAAAAUGCAAUAAAAAAUUUGCACCUUCAAUCUAGAUUUGCAAGAAGUCAUACUUGUAGUUUCACACAUCCCAUUACAUUAUGCUUUUUGGUAAAAUAAGUAAUUUAAGAUUCGAACAAGCACUUGAAUGAUAUAAAACCCACCCAAGACUUGUCCUCUAUAUUCCAAAAUUAGUCAUGGCAGAACUUGAAGCUUCCCAUAUUUUCUGGAGUUCUUGAAAUUUCAUUUACUUGUUGAAUGUCGAGAAUUCCAGGCCGGGGCUAUUUUUGUGUACUUCUUUAGUGUUUCAGGCAAGCAGGAUUUCAGGCAAGCCGCUGUGAUACAGGAAAGGGCUAUGAUAUAAAUUUACUGUGAUUUUGUAGUUCAUUCCAUUUAUAUAUAUCAUCGUCUUACUAUGAAGUCAUAACAAUCAGCAUUAUCACACUUCUCAAAAAUUACUCCUCAUCUGUUGGGUCAAAAAGGAAGAUGAAAAUCUCAUAAUUGUUCUUGAUGAGUAUGGACAUAAUUGUUCUUGAAAAUCUCAUAAUUCUUCUCAAAAAUUACUCCUUAUCAGUUAAGCUAAUCCUUCGUUGUUUGCAAUUCUAGCAUUUUACACUAGGGAAUUUCCAGACUAAUUUGAAUACAUGUGGAACAUUCAUGUCUGGAAUUCUGAUGCCAUGUUUCUUCUAUUUUUUGUUGAUGUAUUUCUUGAACCGUUUACCGUCUGUUGCCUAUAUAUGACAUCCCCUCUUGAAAUUUUUCAUCCACCUCCAUGUUGUGUGUUGUAAGAGAUGCAACAAAAGGUUGUCAUUUUUUGAUAGAAUUUCUAUACCAAUGUUAUUACAAGUAAGCAUGUGGUUAACAUCAGUUUCUCAUCAAAGUUAAUAUAAAUCCCGAGAUAAAAAAUUCCAAAACCAUGUUUGCUGUCAUUUUUAGUAAGAGCGAAAAUUGUGUGAAUCUUAAUUUUUUUGUAGAAAGGUAGUUUUGUCCCUAAGUAGAUAAGUUUAGGUGAUUUAUAUCUAUUACACUUUAACCCUUUUUUUUUUAAGGCUACCACUUUUAAUCAUUCACUGGCUUCUGAGAAAGAUUUUUUUUUUUUUUUUUAAUUAUGUUUCUUGCAUAUUGUUUCUUACAUUUUGUUUCUAAAUAUGUCGUGUUAAUGGUAAAAAUUAUUGUUUUUCAUAUAUUGAAUCGUUAAUAAUGAAAAAUUAUAUUCUCAUAUUUAGUUUUGACCUAAUCUUUUACUAAAUUUAUAGUCGGUUGAAUAAAAUGUUUUGAUUAUUACAUUAAAACAUUUUGUAGGGGCCAUACAAAGAGUUUUGGAUAAAAGAGCAUCCUUCAAUUCAAAUUGCAACAAGGUAAGUUCGUAAAUCCAAGUACCCCAUCAUCAAGUUGUUUUACAGUGUGUGUUUAUAUUCUCAUAAUCAAGUGAUUUAUUUGGGUUGGUGCUUCGAUGUCUCUAUGUGUUUAUGUAUAUGAGGAUAUAAAUAGCAUUUCAUAGUAAAUGGUGUCAUUUAUUGGAUUUAAUGUAACUACAUCAUAAAUGGACGAGACUGGAACUUGUAUGUGCAAAAGAGAGUGUACUACAUGCAUCUUUUAGCCUAGUUAAUUGAAAAAAUCUAUUAAUUUUAUAAUUGAACUUUUACGUUGCAUUUUUUUUCUUAUUAGGAUGGUUCGAAGUGUCCGGAAGUCGACACAUUUGAGUUCGCUUAUGCUAGGAAGAACAAGUAUUGGACUUGUAAUGCAG